This 492-nucleotide ribosomal RNA is filed under the name uncultured bacterium. RNAcentral's name for it is "partial 16S ribosomal RNA". It matches the Rfam family "Bacterial small subunit ribosomal RNA", at positions 29 to 507 of the family's 1533-position model. The record is from RNAcentral.
AGUGAACGCUGGCGGUAGGCCUAACACAUGCAAGUCGAACGGCAGCACAGUAAGAGCUUGCUCUUACGGGUGGCGAGUGGCGGACGGGUGAGGAAUACAUCGGAAUCUACUUUUUCGUGGGGGAUAACGUAGGGAAACUUACGCUAAUACCGCAUACGACCUACGGGUGAAAGCAGGGGAUCUUCGGACCUUGCGCGAUUGAAUGAGCCGAUGUCGGAUUAGCUAGUUGGAGGGGUAAAGGCCCACCAAGGCGACGAUCCGUAGCUGGUCUGAGAGGAUGAUCAGCCAAACUGGAACUGAGACACGGUCCAGACUCCUACGGGAGGCAGCAGUGGGGAAUAUUGGACAAUGGGCGCAAGCCUGAUCCAGCCAUACCGCGUGGGUGAAGAAGGCCUUCGGGUUGUAAAGCCCUUUUGUUGGGAAAGAAAAGCAGCAGGUUAAUACCCCGCUGUUCUGACGGUACCCAAAGAAUAAGCACCGGCUAACUUCGUG